This 264-nucleotide signal recognition particle RNA is filed under the name marine sediment metagenome. RNAcentral's name for it is "Bacterial large signal recognition particle RNA". It matches the Rfam family "Bacterial large signal recognition particle RNA". From Rfam's summary of the family: The signal recognition particle (SRP) is a universally conserved ribonucleoprotein involved in the co-translational targeting of proteins to membranes. RNAcentral also lists the same sequence under 1 other name. The record is from RNAcentral.
CGUGCUAGACGGGGAGGUAGCGGUGCCCUGUAACCCGCAAUCCGCUACAGCGGGGUCGAAUUCCCAACCCGAGGCGGCCGUUUGUGAGGCUGGCUCGGCUAAGCGGCGAGGAACACUGGGUCCUGUGCAACGGGAACCUGUGAACCCCGUCAGGCCCGGGAGGGAGCAGCGGUAAGCAGGACAACCCGUGUGCCGCAGGGGUGCCUGGUAGGAGCUGGCUGGCUGGGUAUCGCUCGGAAGCGGUCCGUCGGAGGUGGGUGCACG